UAGAGAACAUCGCCCUCGCGGGUGACUCUCCAGCCCUAUGUUAUUAAACCUUUGUUGCUUUGGCGAGCCGCCUCGGCCACCGGCUUCCGCUGGUGAGUGCUCGCCAGAGGACCCCAAACCCUGUUUAUUAGUGUCGUCUGAGUACUAUAUAAAUAGUUA
RNAcentral lists this unclassified non-coding RNA (159 nucleotides) under uncultured Xenopolyscytalum. RNAcentral describes it as "sequence contains ITS1". Lineage: Eukaryota; Fungi; Ascomycota; Leotiomycetes; Helotiales. The record is from RNAcentral.